This 73-nucleotide transfer RNA is filed under the name Felis catus (domestic cat). It matches the Rfam family "tRNA". From Rfam's summary of the family: Transfer RNA (tRNA) molecules are approximately 80 nucleotides in length. RNAcentral also lists the same sequence under 4 other names. Lineage: Eukaryota; Metazoa; Chordata; Mammalia; Carnivora; Felidae. The record is from Rfam by way of RNAcentral.
GCCUGGCUGGCUCAGUCAGCAGAGCAUGGGACUCUUGAUCUCAGAGUUGUGAGUUUGUGCCCCAUGUUGGGUG